AUACGUAGGGGGCGAGCGUUGUCCGGAAUGAUUGGGCGUAAAGGGCGCGUAGGCGGCCCGGUAAGUCUGGAGUGAAAGUCCUGCUUUUAAGGUGGGAAUUGCUUUGGAUACUGUCGGGCUUGAGUGCAGGAGAGGUAAGUGGAAUUCCCAGUGUAGCGGUGAAAUGCGUAGAGAUUGGGAGGAACACCAGUGGCGAAGGCGACUUACUGGACUGUAACUGACGCUUAUGCGCGAAAGUGAGGGGAGCAAACAGGAUUAGAUUCCCUGGUAGUCCACACUGUAAACGAUGAAUGCUAGGUGUAGGGGGUAUCGACCCCUUCUGUGCCGCAGUUAACACAAUAAGCAUUCCGCCUGGGGAGUACGGCCGCAAGGUUGAAACUCAAAUGAAUUGACGGGU
Molecule: ribosomal RNA, 397 nt
Filed under: uncultured bacterium
Lineage: Bacteria
Description: partial 16S ribosomal RNA
Rfam family: Bacterial small subunit ribosomal RNA
Source: RNAcentral